CCCUUAGAUGUCCGGGGCUGCACGCGCGCUACACUGUUGCAUUCAGCGAGUUUUAACCAAGGCCGAAAGGUCAAGGUAAUCUUUGAAAGUGCAACGUGCUUGGGCUAGAUGAUUGCAAUUAUUCAUCUUAAACGAGGAAUGCCUAGUAAACGCAUGUCAUCAGCGUGCAUUGAUUACGUCCCUGCCCUUUGUACACACCGCCCGUCGCUCCUACCGAUUGGAUGAUCCGGUGAAUUCUCAGGAUCGUUGUCUUGGUGCUGUUUCAGCAUCCAGGAUAUGCGAGAAUUUGUGUAAACCUUAUCAUCUAGAGGAAGGGGAAGUCGUAACA
Molecule: ribosomal RNA, 328 nt
Filed under: uncultured eukaryote
Lineage: Eukaryota
Description: partial 18S ribosomal RNA
Rfam family: Eukaryotic small subunit ribosomal RNA
Source: RNAcentral